This is a non-coding RNA of Clarias gariepinus (North African catfish), 2449 nucleotides long. NCBI's taxonomy places the organism in Eukaryota, Metazoa, Chordata, Actinopteri, Siluriformes, Clariidae. The record is from the annotation of a RefSeq genome assembly.
GUUGUGGUGUUUGCAUAUGUGUGCUGUGUCAGUGCUGCACACACUUUAAGAGCUGUAGUGCUGAUCAGAGUGUGUUCAGUCCUUUCAGAGCCACUGACACGCAGCACAAUGAUGAUGGUACUGAUUCUACUGCUGGGGACACUGGGACUCCUCGCUCACCAGUCCUUUGGGGAAAUCGUCCUGACUCAGUCUCCAGGAGCUCAGUCUGUUUCUCCAGGACAAUCUGUUACUCUCACCUGUACAACCAGUCAGAGUGUUUACAGUUACCUCGCCUGGUACCUGCAGAAACCUGGUGAAGCUCCUAAACUCCUGAUCUAUUCUGCAUCUUCUCGUCAGUCUGGGAUUCCAGAUCGUUUCAGUGGCAGUGGAUCUGGAACACAAUAUAGUCUAAAAAUCUCUGGAGUUCAGACUGAAGAUGCAGGAGAUUAUUACUGUCAACAGACAGGUUAUACUCCGUACACACAGUGUUAUAGCGCCGUACAAAAACCUCCCUCAGCUGUAGAGGAAGUGCUCUGAGUCAGAAACACACACUGAUCUGAGAACAGCUGCAGAUCUGCUAAAGCUGCACUCCACUGAACAUCAUCAAACGUCUUCAUGUUUAAAUAAUAAUCAUUCCUGAGAAGCAGAAAACUCUUAAUCAGCUGUUCCUUCUGUGAUGAGAAAUCAGCUGAUGUGUAUAAUGGUGUAUGAUGAUGAUUUCCACCUUCUGCUAAGAGGAGCAGCGUCUACUACACACUCCUGUAACACACACUGUAGUGCAGGAGCUUUUAAUAAGACUCAACAUUCAUUUCUAUAUUAUUCUGUAUUUUAAUCAGAAUUCUCUCAUCAUCUGUAAAGUUUAAGCACAAAACACUUUCCUUUUCUCCUCCAUAUAAAUAAACCUGAAGUGAACCGAAGACCUUAAACACACAUGACCUAAGUACCUGUUGUAAGGUUUUAUAAUAUUGUACGACACUGUAAUCUAAUAAGAUUUCUGUACCUUGAGAACAAUUUCAAUUCAGUUCAAUUCAAUUUUAUUUGUAUAGCGCUUUUAGCAAUUGUCAUUGUCGUAAAGCAGCUUUACACAAUCAAAAGAAUUAUUUAAGUUUGUAUGGAAUGUGAAUGAAUCAAAAUGAUCAAGUUGUCCCUGAUGAACAACCCGAGGACGACAGUGGCAAGGAAAAACUCCCUGAGAUGGUAAUAGGAAGAAACCUUGAGAGGAACCAGACUCAACGAGGAACCCAUCCUCAUCUGGGUGAAGCAGAGAGCAGGAAUUGAUCUGCAUUCAUACAGUGUGUAGGGUAGGAGGCAGUUCAGCAUAACAGUUAAUGUUAAUUGAUGUUAAUACGGAGUCCAGGUAGUUAUUGAAGGCCCAGUUAGACUUGUAGGAAGUUCCAGUCCUAACCUACCGAACAGUCAAGUCCUCAGAAAAACUGCUUCCAACACCAGUCGAGGCCAGAACCGUCUUCUAGGUAGAGAGAAUCAUCCUCAGACACGAGACGCAUCCCAAAGAGACAUACUGGGCAUCCAUGUGACGAGAUCUCCAACCAGAAGCGGAGCACCAGGAUGGGUCAGACAGGUCCGGAGGGCAGAGGGAGUCUGGAUCACUGGCAGCUCAGGAACGACAUGUGUAGCUCGACAGAGAGAGAGAAAGAGAGAGAGGGGGAGAGAGAGGAGAAGUGGAGAGCAGACGAGAACAGACCCCUCUUUCUCAUGCUUUAUGCGGUAACAGACGAUCCUGUAUCCAGACGAAUAUACUUUCAAAUGGCUCUUGUCCUCUACAACCCUUGUCUUUAAUCAGGAGAAUGUAAAUGUAUUUCCUCUCUCCUGUCUGUCUCCGGGUUAUGCCUGCGGGUGUGUGGUUUUCUCUCAAGGUGUAUCAAGGUGCAGCGGACACAAUAAGAAAUAACUCUUAUUCUCUUAGCUUAAAACUUAGCUUGGACUCACUCUUCUUCAUCUAAACCUAACACUGUUGAAGGUGAAAAUCACCACAAUGAAACAUAAAGCUUCAUUUGACCAAAGCUAAAUGUGAAGCCAGUGUGAUGCAGGUCUACAUGAUGAUGUAAUGACUGUAUUUAUGACGUCACUGUAAUUACAAUAUUAGCCAGUACAUUCUCUCUGUACAUUUAACAAAGGAGAAUCCUCAAACUCGUGCACAGAACCAGGACGCACCUGGACGCACCUGCUACACUGUAAAAAACAACCUUUAGAAUCUACUCAAUAAAAUUGAGGUAACAAUUUGCAUUCACUUUGUUUGGGUACAGUAGAUCCAAUCCUAUAUAUUUGCAUAAAGACUACCUAAUAUGAAUAGCUACUGUAUGACACACUUAAAAAAAUAGAUAUGGUAUACCUAAUAUUUCUUAUUACAAAUUACUUGUAAAAGUUGAGUAACAUACUUUUAUUGUUAUUAAGUUAAUAUACUGUGCUUAAUUAUUAUUAAUAAAGAUAAGCCAAAAAGAAUAAUUAAACA